AUGCGCCUCGCCUAUCUCCUCCUGGCUGCCUUCCUAAGGCAACCACAGGGCACCAUGGGGCAGGUCACUGUCACCCAGCAAGAAGGACAAGUCACAGUGAAGCAGAAAGAAACCUUCCGCACCAUCUGCACUUACCAGGCACCUAACUUUGGGGCAUUGCUGUGGUACCAGCAGAAGAAAGGCCAAGCUCCCCAACUGCUCUCGUACCAGGCAGCAGCUGGCCCCAAGCACAGUGGCCGUCUGACCAUGCUGCUGAACACCACGGGGAAAUACAGCCUGCUGCAGCUGGAGGAAGUGGAGGUCUCUGACAGUGCCUUGUACCUCUGUGCUGUGAGAGACACCCUGGUGCAGGAGCUUGCUUGGCUGUGCAAGAAGCUGUGUGAGGGGCAGGAGAGCCCUGGUGUGUGGCCUGGCUAA
Molecule: non-coding RNA, 417 nt
Organism: Dryobates pubescens (Downy woodpecker)
Lineage: Eukaryota; Metazoa; Chordata; Aves; Piciformes; Picidae
Source: the annotation of a RefSeq genome assembly